RNAcentral lists this long non-coding RNA (205 nucleotides) under Nicotiana benthamiana. RNAcentral's name for it is "long non-coding RNA (NBEN_LNC009263)". The record is from RNAcentral. Lineage: Eukaryota; Viridiplantae; Streptophyta; Magnoliopsida; Solanales; Solanaceae.
CGAGAGGCCACAGAACCUUUAGGAUUAUCGUGCGUACCUGAUUAAGUUUGAGAUAACUCUUGAAAAUUCAUUACACACGUCUGUAUGCGCACGUGAGCGCUCAGUAGUAUAUGUGCCUUGAUGGCUUGUGAUUCCCUGACCGAGGAGUGAGAGGUAGUCUGCGUGAGUUCAUGUUGGGCUAGUCUGGAGGACUCGAGACCAGAUA